AGUGAACGCUGGCGGUAGACCUAACACAUGCAAGUCGAACGGCAGCACAGUAAGAGCUUGCUCUUACGGGUGGCGAGUGGCGGACGGGUGAGGAAUACAUCGGAAUCUACUUUUUCGUGGGGGAUAACGUAGGGAAACUUACGCUAAUACCGCAUACGACCUACGGGUGAAAGCAGGGGAUCUUCGGACCUUGCGCGAUUGCAUGAGCCGAUGUCGGAUUAGCUAGUUGGCGGGGUAAAGGCCCACCGAGGCGACGAUCCGUAGCUGGUCUGAGAGGAUGAUCAGCCACACUGGAACUGAGACACGGUCCAGACUCCUACGGGAGGCAGCAGUGGGGAAUAUUGGACAAUGGGCGCAAGCCUGAUCCAGCCAUACCGGGUGGGUGAAGAAGGCCUUCGGGUUGUAAAGCCCUUUUGUUGGGAAAGAAAAGCAGCAGGUUAAUACCCCGCUGUUCUGACGGUACCCAAAGAAUAAGCACCGGCUAACUUCGUG
RNAcentral lists this ribosomal RNA (492 nucleotides) under uncultured bacterium. RNAcentral's name for it is "partial 16S ribosomal RNA". It matches the Rfam family "Bacterial small subunit ribosomal RNA", at positions 29 to 507 of the family's 1533-position model. The record is from RNAcentral.